UCUAAUAUUCAUCCGCUGCGCAUUAAAAAUAUGGGCUAUUGGGUUAUUUAGGCGGGAAUUGCAGUUCAGUCGAAUUGUGUUCUCUGUGAAGGUUGUUGUUGCUUCAAUGUCAGUCGUAAAAGAUACAAGAUAUUUGGUAGUUGAGUUCCCUAAAGGGCCUAAGGAAACAACGCCCGCAGUGGAAACCGUUCCAGCAAGCUGGGUUAACGAACAGGAAUUGAUAUCUAAAUGGCCUAAUGGGAAACCUAACGAAGUAUCCAAAGCCAUUAACGAGAUGUAUACCCCUCAGAGUACAUGGAGCUCUUAUAGAUUGUCAAGAAUUCUGUAUAGAUGUGAUAAUUUAUUAACAGCAAAACAAAGAGCAAAAGAUGCUGAAUUAAAUUCAGUAAGCGAAUCAAGCCAUUCGGAUGAGCUUCGACAUAAAAGAAGAAAAAGGAG
Molecule: long non-coding RNA, 438 nt
Organism: Uloborus diversus
Lineage: Eukaryota; Metazoa; Arthropoda; Arachnida; Araneae; Uloboridae
Exons: 3
Source: RefSeq, a predicted model, not a curated record